GACGAACGCUGGCGGCGUGCUUAACACAUGCAAGUCGAACGGAAAGGCCCUGCUUGCAGGGUACUCGAGUGGCGAACGGGUGAGUAACACGUGGGUGAUCUGCCCUGCACUUCGGGAUAAGCUUGGGAAACUGGGUCUAAUACCGGAUAGGAGCCAUCUUUAGUGUGGUGGUUGGAAAGUUUUUCGGUGUAGGAUGAGCUCGCGGCCUAUCAGCUUGUUGGUGGGGUAAUGGCCUACCAAGGCGGCGACGGGUAGCCGGCCUGAGAGGGUGUACGGCCACAUUGGGACUGAGAUACGGCCCAGACUCCUACGGGAGGCAGCAGUGGGGAAUAUUGCACAAUGGGCGCAAGCCUGAUGCAGCGACGCCGCGUGGGGGAUGAAGGCCUUCGGGUUGUAAACUCCUUUCGCUAGGGACGAAGCUUUGUUGUGACGGUACCUAGAUAAGAAGCACCGGCUAACUACGUG
RNAcentral lists this ribosomal RNA (465 nucleotides) under uncultured bacterium. RNAcentral's name for it is "partial 16S ribosomal RNA". It matches the Rfam family "Bacterial small subunit ribosomal RNA", at positions 28 to 507 of the family's 1533-position model. The record is from RNAcentral.